Molecule: ribosomal RNA, 374 nt
Filed under: uncultured bacterium
Lineage: Bacteria
Description: bacterial SSU rRNA
Rfam family: Bacterial small subunit ribosomal RNA
Source: RNAcentral
GACGAACGCUGGCGGCGUGCUUAACACAUGCAAGUCGAGCGGUAAGGCCCUUUCGGGGGUACACGAGCGGCGAACGGGUGAGUAACACGUGGGUGACCUGCCCUUAGCUCUGGGAUAAGCCUGGGAGACUGGGUCUAAUACCGGAUAUGACUCCAUGACGCAUGUUGUGGGGUGGAAAGCCUUGUGCGGCUAGGGAUGGGCCCGCGGCCUAUCAGCUUGUUGGUGGGGUGAUGGCCACCAAGGCGACGACGGGUAGCCGGCCUGAGAGGGCGACCGGCCACACUGGGACUGAGACACGGCCCAGACUCCUACGGGAGGCAGCAGUGGGGAAUCUUGCGCAAUGGGCGAAAGCCUGACGCAGCGACGCCGCGUGA